This 253-nucleotide ribosomal RNA is filed under the name uncultured bacterium. Its description in RNAcentral is "partial 16S ribosomal RNA". It matches the Rfam family "Bacterial small subunit ribosomal RNA", at positions 524 to 776 of the family's 1533-position model. The record is from RNAcentral.
UACAGAGGUCUCAAGCGUUGUUCGGAUUCAUUGGGCGUAAAGGGUGCGUAGGCGGCGCGGUAAGUCGGGUGUGAAAUCUCGGAGCUUAACUCCGAAACUGCAUUCGAUACUGCCGUGCUUGAGGACUGGAGAGGAGACUGGAAUUUACGGUGUAGCGGUGAAAUGCGUAGAUAUCAGGAGGAACACCGAUGACGAAGGCAGGUCUCUGGGCAUUAACUGACGCUGAGGAGCGAAAGCAUGGGGAGCGAACAGG